Gossypium arboreum is the source of this 375-nucleotide long non-coding RNA. RefSeq lists it as uncharacterized. The transcript has 3 exons. Lineage: Eukaryota; Viridiplantae; Streptophyta; Magnoliopsida; Malvales; Malvaceae. The record is from RefSeq and is a predicted model, not a curated record.
GGUACAUUUUCUUGGUUGAUCCCUUUCGCUGUAUGGCGUGCUCGUUUGGGUUGGGCGUCGGCUAAGAGUGCUCGGAGCGUGGAUUAACUCCAGUCUCCUAUCAGGUGGUGGUUAUCGUAGGUGAUUGAUUAUGGAAACGUUUCAACUUCAACCCAUAACAGGUAAUCCCUAAGCUUAGAUGGUUUAGAGCUGCGAGGGACUCGGAGAUGGCCACACUAUUGUUUCUGUUUCUUUUAAUUGCAAUAAGUAGCCGAUUUAUUUCUUUAUAAGUUUUAUCUUAUUAAUAUUAUUAUUUGGUUUUGGGUUGUAAUAAGGCCAUUUUAAUUAUUUUUCUGGGAUUAUUUUAUCUUAUACCCUAUAUUUUUCUGAUAACAA